This 484-nucleotide ribosomal RNA is filed under the name uncultured bacterium. RNAcentral describes it as "partial 16S ribosomal RNA". It matches the Rfam family "Bacterial small subunit ribosomal RNA", at positions 30 to 507 of the family's 1533-position model. The record is from RNAcentral.
AUUGAACGCUGGCGGCAGGCCUAACACAUGCAAGUCGAGCGGAAGAAGGGAGCUUGCUCCUGGAUUCAGCGGCGGACGGGUGAGUAAUGCCUAGGAAUCUGCCUGGUAGUGGGGGAUAACGUCCGGAAACGGGCGCUAAUACCGCAUACGUCCUGAGGGAGAAAGGGGGGGAUCUUCGGACCUCACGCUAUCAGAUGAGCCUAGGUCGGAUUAGCGAGUUGGUGGGGUAAAGGCCUACCAAGGCGACGAUCCGUAACUGGUCUGAGAGGAUGAUCAGUCACACUGGAACUGAGACACGGUCCAGACUCCUACGGGAGGCAGCAGUGGGGAAUAUUGGACAAUGGGCGAAAGCCUGAUCCAGCCAUGCCGCGUGUGUGAAGAAGGUCUUCGGAUUGUAAAGCACUUUAAGUUGGGAGGUAGGGCAGUAAGUUAAUACCUUGCUGUUUUGACGUUACCAACAGAAUAAGCACCGGCUAACUUCGUG